Molecule: ribosomal RNA, 265 nt
Filed under: uncultured Staphylococcus sp.
Lineage: Bacteria; Bacillati; Bacillota; Bacilli; Caryophanales; Staphylococcaceae
Description: partial 16S ribosomal RNA
Rfam family: Bacterial small subunit ribosomal RNA
Source: RNAcentral
CGGACGGGUGAGUAACACGUGGAUAACCUACCUAUAAGACUGGGAUAACUUCGGGAAACCGGAGCUAAUACCGGAUAAUAUAUUGAACCGCAUGGUUCAAUAGUGAAAGACGGUUUUGCUGUCACUUAUAGAUGGAUCCGCGCCGCAUUAGCUAGUUGGUAAGGUAACGGCUUACCAAGGCAACGAUGCGUAGCCGACCUGAGACGGGUGAUCGGCCACACUGGAACUGAGACACGGGUCCAGACUCCUACGGGAGGCAGCAGUC